Molecule: long non-coding RNA, 319 nt
Filed under: Capsicum annuum
Lineage: Eukaryota; Viridiplantae; Streptophyta; Magnoliopsida; Solanales; Solanaceae
Description: long non-coding RNA (CANN_LNC016553)
Source: RNAcentral
GGGCAUCCAAGAUUGUAAAUCUUGUUGUCUCUGUUUCAAAAUGUGCUCUUCCUACCUCAACUUUUUUUUUCCUACACAGGAAAUUACAAGAAAAAAAUAAACAAGCACAAUCUAACCUUGCAGGAAAAUAAAUAAAUAAAUAAAUAAACACAACAAAUAAUAAGAAUACCUUCUUUCUUUUUCUUUUCUUUUUUAUUUUUCCUUUGGCUGUGUGUGUUGAGAGGGUUUAAUAAUAAGAAUACCUUCGCUCUCUCCUCUUCAUUUGUAUCCAUGAUAUAGGCAUUAGCAGUUUCAUGCUUAACACAUGUCUUGCAGCACC